CCUACGGGUGGCAGCAGUGGGGAAUAUUGGACAAUGGGCGAAAGCCUGAUCCAGCCAUGCCGCGUGUGUGAAGAAGGCCUUCGGGUUGUAAAGCACUUUCAGUGGGGAAGAAAGCCUUGGGGCUAAUACCCUCGAGGAAGGACAUCACCCACAGAAGAAGCACCGGCUAACUCCGUGCCAGCAGCCGCGGUAAUACGGAGGGUGCGAGCGUUAAUCGGAAUUACUGGGCGUAAAGCGCGCGUAGGCGGUCUGAUAAGCCGGUUGUGAAAGCCCCGGGCUCAACCUGGGAACGGCAUCCGGAACUGUCAGGCUAGAGUGCAGGAGAGGUAGGUAGAAUUCCCGGUGUAGCGGUGAAAUGCGUAGAGAUCGGGAGGAAUACCAGUGGCGAAGGCGGCCUUCUGGACUGACACUGACGCUGAGGUGCGAAAGCGUGGGUAGCAAACAGGAUUAGAUACCCCGGUAGUC
This 465-nucleotide ribosomal RNA is filed under the name Vreelandella stevensii. RNAcentral describes it as "partial 16S ribosomal RNA". It matches the Rfam family "Bacterial small subunit ribosomal RNA", at positions 338 to 795 of the family's 1533-position model. The record is from RNAcentral. Lineage: Bacteria; Pseudomonadati; Pseudomonadota; Gammaproteobacteria; Oceanospirillales; Halomonadaceae.